Molecule: ribosomal RNA, 635 nt
Filed under: uncultured bacterium
Lineage: Bacteria
Description: bacterial SSU rRNA
Rfam family: Bacterial small subunit ribosomal RNA
Source: RNAcentral
AAAGACUGGCUAAUACCGCAUCACAUCCUGCCUUUGAAGAGGUGGAGAUCAAAGCUGGGGAUCGCAAGACCCAGCGCUGGAAGAGGGGCCCGCGCCUGAUUAGCUAGUUGGUGAGGUAACGGUUCACCAAGGCGACGAUCAGUAUCCGGCCUGAGAGGGCGGACGGACACACUGGGACUGAGACACGGCCCAGACUCCUACGGGAGGCAGCAGUGGGGAAUUGUUCGCAAUGGGCGCAAGCCUGACGACGCAACGCCGCGUGGAGGAUGAAGACCUUCGGGUCGUAAACUCCUUUCGAUCGAGACGAAUGGCCUCCGGGCAAAUACCCCGGAGGAGUGACGGUACCGAGAGAAGAAGCCCCGGCUAACUCCGUGCCAGCAGCCGCGGUAAUACGGGGGGGGCAAGCGUUGUUCGGAAUUACUGGGCGUAAAGGGCUCGUAGGCGGCCAACUAAGUCAGACAUGAAAUCCCUCGGCUUAACGGGGGAACUGCGUCUGAUACUGGAUGGCUUGAGUUUGGGAGAGGGAUGCGGAAUUCCAGGUGUAGCGGUGAAAUGCGUAGAUAUCUGGAGGAACACCGGUGGCGAAUGCGGCAUCCUGGACCAAUACUGACGCUGAGGAGCGAAAGCCAGGGGAG